This 529-nucleotide ribosomal RNA is filed under the name uncultured bacterium. RNAcentral's name for it is "bacterial SSU rRNA". It matches the Rfam family "Bacterial small subunit ribosomal RNA", at positions 8 to 526 of the family's 1533-position model. The record is from RNAcentral.
AGGGUUCGAUUCUGGCUCAGAUUGAACGCUGGCGGCAUGCCUAAUACAUGCAAGUCGAACGGAAACGAUGGAAGCUUGCUUCCAGGCGUCGAGUGGCGGACGGGUGAGUAAUACUUAGGAAUCUGCCUAUUAGUGGGGGACAACUCGAGGAAACUCGAGCUAAUACCGCAUACGCCCUACGGGGGAAAGCGGGGGAUCUUUCGGGACCUCGCGCUAAUAGAUGAGCCUAAGCCGGAUUAGCUUGUUGGUGGGGUAAUGGCCUACCAAGGCGACGAUCCGUAGCUGGUCUGAGAGGAUGAUCAGCCACACUGGGACUGAGACACGGCCCAGACUCCUACGGGAGGCAGCAGUAGGGAAUAUUGCACAAUGGGCGAAAGCCUGAUGCAGCAAUGCCGCGUGUGUGAAGAAGGCCUGAGGGUUGUAAAGCACUUUCAAUAGUGAAGAAAAGCACAGGGUUAAUAACCUUGUGUGUUGACGUUAACUAUACAAGAAGCACCGGCUAACUCCGUGCCAGCAGCCGCGGUAAUAC